Streptomyces rubellomurinus is the source of this 75-nucleotide non-coding RNA. It matches the Rfam family "ASpks TB sRNA". Lineage: Bacteria; Bacillati; Actinomycetota; Actinomycetes; Kitasatosporales; Streptomycetaceae. The record is from Rfam.
CUUCACCGAGCCGAGCAGCAGCGGCAGUUCGGCCGCGCGGCCCUGCCCGUACGUCGCCAGCAGGGCCUGCGCCUC